UACGUAGGGCGCAAGCGUUAUCCGGAAUUAUUGGGCGUAAAGAGCUCGUAGGCGGUUUGUCGCGUCUGCCGUGAAAGUCCGGGGCUCAACUCCGGAUCUGCGGUGGGUACGGGCAGACUAGAGUGAUGUAGGGGAGACUGGAAUUCCUGGUGUAGCGGUGAAAUGUGUAGAGAUCGGGAGGAACACCGGUGGCGAAGGCGGGUCUCUGGGCAUUCCCUGACGCUGAGGCGCGAAAGCGUGGGGAGCAAACGGG
RNAcentral lists this ribosomal RNA (253 nucleotides) under uncultured bacterium. RNAcentral's name for it is "partial 16S ribosomal RNA". It matches the Rfam family "Bacterial small subunit ribosomal RNA", at positions 524 to 776 of the family's 1533-position model. The record is from RNAcentral.